ACUUCCGGUUGCGAGUGGCGCGAAUUGCUCUUCCUUCGUCAUUUCAAUUCUUUCAGAAACAGAAUAAAAAAAACAAGAAAAUGAAGCUCUGAGAUGAAAGAGGAACCCCAUUGGAGCAGAACGCAGUCAUGAUGUUUUCAGCUGCUGGUUUGCCUGGAAGCUUUGCUCCUUUUUCUCUGUAAAGGAUGAAGCAGAGAUGUUCUUCACGUCCACUUUUUCCAGAGCGACUGCGGUUCGAUUCCCGGCUCCUCCCUGCAGCAGGGCCAUCGCCGAUGCUGAGAGUUUUAUCCUUCCAGGCGAGCAGAUGAAGCCCACGCCGAUGCUCGUGUGCUGCAACACCCACCUCAGGGCCCGCCGGCAAAACCCCUUCUUCUCUGCUUCAAGUCGGCGCCGAGGCUCCACAGGUUCUGCUCACGACCGCUCAGGUAUGACGCAACCUGCAGAGCACGCUGCCAUCAUGCAAGCCUCCAACUUUCAGGCUUGGAUCCGUCUUAAAUCAGAGGAUCGUUGAGUCAUUUUUACUUUACUGAUCUCCUGAUUUGUCUAUUUAUAAAUAAAGAUACACGACAAUAAAAGAAGAACAACGUUUUUUAUGAGGCCAAUGCAUCAUUUCCAUACCAUAAAAUGGAAAUGAAUCCUUUUCAGCGAGCAGGAGGGUCUGUGAAGCAGACGUGGGCGUCUCCACGCACGUCUGCAGAUGCUCUCCUCUCUGUGAUCCAGAGGGAGUUUGCUGUUCAGGGUUUCUGCUGAGUCAUGACUUCUCCUCCUGUUAACGUUGAUGUGCAGCGUGCCGCUGGCUGGCGAAGGUCCACGUCCUUCUGUUGUCCCACUUCUUCAAAUUGUUGGUGUUUUUUUUUUUUAUGUUUACCGCGGCCUCGCCAUUGAUCACG
Long non-coding RNA from Oryzias latipes (Japanese medaka), 890 nucleotides. RefSeq lists it as uncharacterized. Lineage: Eukaryota; Metazoa; Chordata; Actinopteri; Beloniformes; Adrianichthyidae. The record is from RefSeq and is a predicted model, not a curated record.